This 1518-nucleotide long non-coding RNA is filed under the name Callithrix jacchus (white-tufted-ear marmoset). RNAcentral's name for it is "lncRNA (ENSCJAG00000078737.1)". The record is from RNAcentral. Lineage: Eukaryota; Metazoa; Chordata; Mammalia; Primates; Cebidae.
CCCCAGCACCCCACAUUAUGCUCCACAAAGCUGGAAAUACACAACAAGCCGGCAUCUGUGUGGAAUAAUAAAAGCGGGUGUGGACGUGUCGUUCUCACAGGGCAUUUGGCUGAGCCUGGGCAACGCGAAAGCAUGCAUAGUUAACGCUCCUGACUGUGUGAAACCCUUUGUCGCGGCACCGGCUCUGCGAGGGACCCAGGGCCCGGGGCUUGGCAAGGGCCCGAGACAUUUCUUGGAAUGGUUUCUUGUUCAUCACUGACACUCGUAAUGAGAAAUUUAUACACCAUCCUAAGCGGAUAAAUUAAUUUCAAACACUUUAGACUUUGGAAGACAAUGGUUCCUGGCAGGACCCUUUAUCACCCAUUUUAUUAAAAAAAAAAAAAAAAAGAAAGAAAGGGGAGAGAAAAAAAACCCUCGGGACAUUGCAAACAAAACCCCUCUGCCCGGCUCUGGAGCUCACUGUCCAGGGCUGGGAGGACCCGCUCGGUCCCCAUGUGGGCCUGGGGCCUGUGGGUCACUGUGAAACUUCAUUAAAGGGUGUGCAGCUCCCCGGGCUGUCCCCUCACCCCUGCGGAGCACAGCUUCCGCUCACCCCUGGCUCCGUUUGAAGUUGGCAUUCUGGCCAAGGAGUUGGAUUUCUCAGGCUGCGUUUGUGAAAGGCCCUUGAGUGUCUCAAAUGCAGCAACAGGAGCUGCUGUUUCACACACAAUUCCAGGAAGAGCUCUGCUGGAUUUCCAUUCAAAUUCUGCCUCCACUCCCUCCUAGACACGUGGCCUUCGGCAGGUCAUGUCGCCUGUCUAAGCCCCUCAAAUGUAAAACAAGAAUAUAAAACUUCACAUGAGAGAGAAAGCAAAUGUAGCCAAAGGUUAGCAUUUGGUGAAUUUAGGAGUUCCUUAUGCUGUUCUUGUAGCUCUUCUGCAGAUUUGGGGAAGAGGGAGUUUAUAAGUGAAAGCACUGAGAUAUUCUGUAUUCUAGGCUUUAUGGUCUAAUACCACUGAGUUUAUUUUUUGAAAUAAAUAAUGCUGGACUCCUGAAAAAAAAAAAAGAAUAUCAAACUGCCCUAACCUCAUGGAGUGGUUGUGAGGAUUACGUGAAAGUUGGUUUAUUAAAAGCCUGAUGAUUUUUGUGUCCUGCUGAGUUGUUCUUUCUGUCAUCCGAAUAUUUGGUAAGUGCAUUCUCUAAGUCCUUAUUGAAUGCAUCGAUGUAAUUCUCUGGGGCAGGAGCAUUUCACAGGAACCAAGCUUGGAGCCACUCUGCUGGACACCUCAGCCAGGCUGACGUGGGGCCAGUGGUCAUUCCUGUUCCAAUGCAAUUAUUUAACCAGCUCAAAGUCCAGUGACCUGCUCUAAUGUCCCCUCAGCAUUUCCCCACUUCCUCCAUGAGCCUGGUGGAGCCUAGGAAUGAUCCAGGUGGAUGGUAUCACGGACCCAGCACCUCUAACAUGAGAAACUCUUGCAAAUACUUGCUUAAAAUAGACAUACUUUCCAUUGGCUGCUGCCUGUGACCUUUGAAGCUCUU